Molecule: ribosomal RNA, 778 nt
Filed under: uncultured Neocallimastigales
Lineage: Eukaryota; Fungi; Neocallimastigomycota; Neocallimastigomycetes; Neocallimastigales
Description: partial large subunit ribosomal RNA
Rfam family: Eukaryotic large subunit ribosomal RNA
Source: RNAcentral
GUAGUCUCGCACAGAUGCAUAUCAAUAAGCGGAGGAAAAGAAACUAACAAGGAUUCCCCUAGUAACGGCGAGUGAAGCGGGAAGAGCUCAAAUUUGAAAUCUUAAAGGAUUUCCCUUUACGAAUUGUAGUUUAAAGAAGUAGUUUUCUGUUGAGGUUUUGGUAAAAGUUCUUUGGAAUAGGACAUCAUAGAGGGUGAGAAUCCCGUAUUUGACCUUUACUUUCAACUUUGUGAUACACUUUCAAAGAGUCGGAUUGUUUGGGAAUGCAGGUCCAAAAUGGGUGGUAAAUUUCAUCUAAAGCUAAAUAUUGGCGAGAGACCGAUAGCGAACAAGUACCGUGAGGGAAAGAUGAAAAGAACUUUGAAAAGAGAGUUAAACAGUACGUGAAAUUGUCAAAAGGGAAGCGUUUGACACCAGUGUUGUUUUUCUGAAAAUCAAUUAAAGAACUGUUUAUGCUAAGCUGUUUAGACUUUAUCAGCUAUCUGCUUUAGUUUUGAGCUUUUCUUUAAUGCACUUUUCAGUUAACAAGUCAACAUCAAUUUCUUUUGCUGUAAAAAAGCUUGAGGAAGGUGGCUUGAGAAUCGUCUUAAGUGUUUAUAGCCUCUUGCCUAUGCAGUCGGAGAGAUUGAGGUCUGCAGCGUAGAUCCUUCGGGGCUAAAUGCAUUUGUGCUAAGUUAUAGCAGUUUUAUAGACAACUUGUUGACUAUGAUUUGUCUUGUAGCUUACUCGCUUAUGUUAUUUUACCUACGCUUAGGAUGUUGACGCAUGAGAUAUACGC